GGAAAGGUGGCGCGGGUAGGCGUUGGCCUUUUCCGGCAGGCCCACCCGCUUGAUCAGUUCGUGGGCGUGCUCGAUGGCGUCGGACUUCUUCUCC
RNAcentral lists this transfer RNA (94 nucleotides) under Roseovarius pacificus. RNAcentral's name for it is "tRNA-Arg". The record is from RNAcentral. Lineage: Bacteria; Pseudomonadati; Pseudomonadota; Alphaproteobacteria; Rhodobacterales; Roseobacteraceae.